Molecule: long non-coding RNA, 218 nt
Organism: Elgaria multicarinata webbii
Lineage: Eukaryota; Metazoa; Chordata; Lepidosauria; Squamata; Anguidae
Exons: 3
Source: RefSeq, a predicted model, not a curated record
GAAACUAAGACAUUUGGGACUCCCAUGAAUUUUCCUCCUGCACUGGAGUGGAAGGUCUGGAAGCUCUCUGAGAUAAAACCAUUUCUGGAGGGUGUGGUGAAGCCAUUCAAAGAAACCCUGGAAUUUGACUUUCCCCUGCAGGAACCCGAUGUGACUCUGGAUCCAGACACUGCUCAUUGCAAACUCGUUCUGUCUGAGGAUCUCCAGACGGUGAGAUG